Harpia harpyja (harpy eagle) is the source of this 580-nucleotide long non-coding RNA. RefSeq lists it as uncharacterized. The record is from RefSeq and is a predicted model, not a curated record. The transcript has 2 exons. Lineage: Eukaryota; Metazoa; Chordata; Aves; Accipitriformes; Accipitridae.
GGAAUGAACUUCUUCAUCCUGUGACAGUGCUGACAAGAACUGCCACUUUGUCAGCCUCCUUACCUGAAGCUGUCACUUCAGGCCAUGCAGUGGGGAAAGACUGGAGCUUAUUCUUCAGGCUGCUGCAUUUGGAAGCUGAUGGGUGUCAUGUCAUCUGACAGUCUCUUGGUACCUGACUUGCCAUGCCUGGUCAAUAAACUUGCUGAUUUUUGGAAGAGAAUGGGGGGGGGGGGGUGUUUACAGCAACUGCAUAAUCUUUUGUGUCUAAUUACAGGCUGGGUUUUCCCCUUAGCAGUAUGUUGUCCUUCUGUCCAUUGCAUAAUGUGGUACUUAAUGAAUGAUAGCAGGUAUGUUUAUUGUUGCUCGUAAAUGGCAUUACCGAUGUCAUUUGCCUGUACUGGAUGAUCUCUCUAGUGACUUGAGCUACCUCCUCCUAGCAGGUGUAUAUUGUAACUGGACUGAUUCUGUUCUGUUUUGUUACAUGAGUAACUGUCUUCUGGGAAACUGUGUAAAUACUAGAAUUGUCUGUUAAAAGCUGAAGAAUAUGAUGUGAGUUUAAAAUAAAUACUUUAUAUUUCCA